UGCGUAGGCGGUCCGGUAAGUUGGGUGUGAAAUACCUCGGCUCAACCGAGGGAUUGCGCUCAAUACUGUCGGACUCGAGGGAGACAGAGGUGAGCGGAACUUAGGGUGGAGCGGUGAAAUGCGUUGAUAUCCUAAGGAACACCGGUAGCGAAAGCGGCUCACUGGGUCUUUUCUGACGCUGAUGCACGAAAGCUAGGGGAGCGAACG
RNAcentral lists this ribosomal RNA (207 nucleotides) under uncultured Planctomycetaceae bacterium. Its description in RNAcentral is "partial 16S ribosomal RNA". It matches the Rfam family "Bacterial small subunit ribosomal RNA", at positions 568 to 774 of the family's 1533-position model. The record is from RNAcentral. Lineage: Bacteria; Pseudomonadati; Planctomycetota; Planctomycetia; Planctomycetales; Planctomycetaceae.